CAAUUUUUCAUCUGACACACGCAACCCAUUUCUUUCUCUAUCAUCCUUUCACAACUGUUUCUUUCUUGAAUUUGCUCCAUUUUUCAAGAUAUUUACCUUCCCCAAUUCUCCUUUCUUCCUUCAUCCGAUUCUGGUAUGAAAAUGUUAUGAUAUGCGUAAAGUCCAUUUCUUUUAUGCUUAAGACUAAUGGGUUAGAUUUUUCUUUUUAGGGUUAUUACUGGAAAGACAAUUUUUUUUUUCUUUUAUGCUCACUGCCUCUUCAUCGUCGCCUCUGGUGAUUGAAGAAGGAAAGUAUCGCUGCAAAGAUGAAUGGGUUUAUUGCUGAAGUGAAACUAGCAUUGACCGUCUCUUGUAUGUUUGGAUUCUACUGUGAGUUCCUUUUAAACUUCAACAACAUCAAUCCACAAUUUUAUGAGUUAGUCCUGAUUUAGAACAAUGAUUAAAUGCCUCAAGCCGAUAUGUAUUGGUCAGAAAUCUAUAUUUCUAGCUUCUAGGGUCCAUCUGGGCAUCUAUUUUCUUUUCAUUCCGUCCAUUCUUCAAAUGAUUUCAGUUGUUUAAAUAAGAGCAUUUAAAAAUCAAAACCCUAAAGAUUUUGAUCCGUCAAAAUGGCACUUUUUUCAGAAAAUUAUAAUGGGUUUCGAGAAGAACUGUGAAAAUUGUUGCGACUCCUUGAUGAAUUUAUGUUUUUGGAAGUGGACCUGCUGGCUUCUACAUUGUUGAAAAUGUAUGUUUUUUUGUAAAGGUGUGUUUUUCUGUACCUUUUUUUUUUUUUUUUCUGUCAAUUGAAUUUUUGUUCAUCAGUUUUGAUAUAUAUUAAUACGUGGCAUUUUAAAACCUACCCGAGUUCUUAUAAGGUUGAUAACAUUACAGAAAUUAUGUUUCCUCUUUUUCAUGAUGCAAACAUCUUUAAAGAUUCAUAUUAAUUUAAUGAACCGUUCAACUUACAUCCAUAUCCCUACAAUAUAAAAGAGUAAAUCCUAAAGUUGCUUUUCGUUUAACAGUGUUAAAUCCUUUUCAUUUUAUUUAUUUAUUAUUAUUAUUUUUUGCUUCUGGUGAAAAAAAUGACGUUGUUUUAUGUAAGUCUUGUACUAACAAAGUCAUUCUCUCUAUCUCUAUGCUGAUUUUCUUUCUUUAUUUAGAUCCUUUUUUUUUGCCCUUUGAUUGAUAGUCUUUUAAAUCUUUUUCUAUGUACUUUGGUUAUUUUUUUGAUAUCUACAUUUGAAUUUUUUGGAUUUGGCCUUGUAUUUUUGCGUUUCCGUGAUGUAUUGCUAUUUAUCUGAGAUUUGUUCAUUUUAUUAUAGAAGGCAAAGGCGCUACCGAAGAGAUUGCGAGGGACGUAGCGGUGGUGAUGGCAGAGAAGAAGAAUGCUGAUUCUGCACUAUGUCGCUCACAAUAUAAGUUUUGGAGGGAAGAUGGGUAGCAUGUUGCACAGUGGAGAUUGUCUUUAAGAAGCUGAAGAGUGAAUUGGAUCUUAAAAUGGUACAUCAAUAUACACUUUAAUCUCCACCCUUUUCUGGGUGAGAUAACUGCGAAAUAUUGGUGUUUGUGUUGGAAUAUGUGAAAAAUAUUACAUUCCAAAUGAACACUGACUUACUUAUCCCUAUUUUUGGAAGAAGAAAAAGAGAAAAAGGUG
RNAcentral lists this long non-coding RNA (1633 nucleotides) under Olea europaea subsp. europaea. Lineage: Eukaryota; Viridiplantae; Streptophyta; Magnoliopsida; Lamiales; Oleaceae. The record is from RNAcentral.